Non-coding RNA from Triticum urartu, 129 nucleotides. NCBI's taxonomy places the organism in Eukaryota, Viridiplantae, Streptophyta, Magnoliopsida, Poales, Poaceae. The record is from Rfam.
AUAAUACUUCCUCCGUUCCGAAUUACUUGUCUUGGAUUUGUCUAGAUACGGAUGUAUCUAGCACUAAUCUAGAUACAUCCGUAUCUAGACAAAUUUAAGACAAGUAAUUCGGAACGGAGGGAGUAUGUG